This 689-nucleotide ribosomal RNA is filed under the name uncultured bacterium. RNAcentral describes it as "bacterial SSU rRNA". It matches the Rfam family "Bacterial small subunit ribosomal RNA", at positions 126 to 812 of the family's 1533-position model. The record is from RNAcentral.
CUGCCCUAUGCAGGGGGAUAACCCGGAGAAAUCCGGCCUAAUACCGCGUAACACCUUUUGGGAGCAUUCCCGGGAGGUUAAAGGAGAGAUCCGGCAUAGGAUGGACAUGCGUCGCAUUAGGUAGACGGCGGGGUAACGGCCCACCGUGCCGACGAUGCGUAGGGGUUCUGAGAGGAAGGCCCCCCACACUGGUACUGAGACACGGACCAGACUCCUACGGGAGGCAGCAGUGAGGAAUAUUGGUCAAUGGCCGAGAGGCUGAACCAGCCAAGUCGCGUGAGGGAAGAAUGUCCUAAGGAUUGUAAACCUCUUUUGUCGGGGAGCAAAAAGGCUCUGCGGAGUCGUAUUGAGAGUACCCGAAGAAAAAGCAUCGGCUAACUCCGUGCCAGCAGCCGCGGUAAUACGGAGGAUGCGAGCGUUAUCCGGAUUUAUUGGGUUUAAAGGGUGCGCAGGCGGCGUGUCAAGCAAGCGGUAAAAUAGCGGGGCUCAACCCCGUCGAGCCGUUUGGACUGGCGCGCUUGAGUUCAGGCGAGGUAGGCGGAAUUCGUGGUGUAGCGGUGAAAUGCAUAGAUAUCACGAAGAACUCCGAUUGCGAAGGCAGCUUACCAGUCUGCGACUGACGCUCAGGCACGAAAGUGUGGGUAUCGAACAGGAUUAGAUACCCUGGUAGUCCACACAGUAAACGAUGA